RNAcentral lists this long non-coding RNA (589 nucleotides) under Homo sapiens (human). Its description in RNAcentral is "ADK antisense RNA 1". The record is from RNAcentral. Lineage: Eukaryota; Metazoa; Chordata; Mammalia; Primates; Hominidae.
GAAUUUGCCUAUUCUAGAUACUUCUUGUGCCUUUUUCCAUAAUUUUUUCUUAUAACCAGCCCUUCUCAUCCAAAGGCCACAAUGAAGUCGAAGAAACCUAUAGAUGACAGCUUUCACAAUCCUUCUCUUGCCUUUUCCUGUACUGACGUAUGUUAGAGAUCUGGCUGGCAGCUUCAAGACACUUGGAAGCAAGAGGGCCACUCUAUUAAGGAUCGCUGAAGUAUGCCCACAUGUCAGGUUUCUCUCAGAUGUGUCUCAGGUAUGCCUUUAUCAGCAGCAUGAAAACAGACUAAUACACACACUACUAUGCAGAGAUUAAAAGCAAUAAAGGAGUUGGGCACAGUGGCUCCAGCCUAUAAUCCCAGCACUUUGGGAGGCUGAGGCAGGCGGAUCACUUGAGGUCAGGAGUUCAAAACCAGCCUGGCCAACAUGGUAUCAAAACAUCAUUAUGGGCCGGGCACGGUGGCUUACGCCUGUAAUCCCAGCACUUUGGGAGGCUGAGGCAGGCAUAUGAAGAGGUCAAGAGAUCGAGAUCAUCCCGGCCAACAUGGUGAAACCCCAUCUCUACUAAAAAUACAAACAUUAGCUA